UACGGGGGGGGCAAGCGUUGUUCGGAAUUACUGGGCGUAAAGGGCUCGUAGGCAGCCAACUAAGUCAGACAUGAAAUCCCCAGGCUCAACCUGGGAACUGCGUCUGAUACUGGAUGGCUUGAAUCCGGGAGAGGGAUGCAGAAUUCCAGGUGUAGCGGUGAAAUGCGUAGAUAUCUGGAGGAAUACCGGUGGCGAAGGCGGCAUCCUGGACCGGCAUUGACGCUGAGGAGCGAAAGCCAGGGGAGCAAACGGG
This 253-nucleotide ribosomal RNA is filed under the name uncultured bacterium. Its description in RNAcentral is "partial 16S ribosomal RNA". It matches the Rfam family "Bacterial small subunit ribosomal RNA", at positions 524 to 776 of the family's 1533-position model. The record is from RNAcentral.